RNAcentral lists this long non-coding RNA (289 nucleotides) under Lathyrus oleraceus (garden pea). Its description in RNAcentral is "Pisum sativum (pea) long non-coding RNA (PSAT_LNC019001)". The record is from RNAcentral. Lineage: Eukaryota; Viridiplantae; Streptophyta; Magnoliopsida; Fabales; Fabaceae.
CUGUCUCAUUAUAUGACUGUUCCCAAUUUUUCCCAUCAAAAUUGCCUCUCAUGUAGCAGAUUGAGCAGUUGCAGUCCCAUACGACCACACUGGAAGGAGCAAUCACUUUCCACCUUACACACUCUUACAAUGGCAGCCUCCAUUAUGCACCACUGUUUCACCUUCCAUUUCAGGACUCUAAACAACAAUGAUUAUCAAUGAAACUGAGUUAAAGGAAUAAUUUGGAAUUGUGUUGUUACUUGAGGCAUGGCAUAUACUAGUUAGAAAUUCAGUAACAAAUAGGUUUUGU